UGGGGAAUUUUGGACAAUGGGCGCAAGCCUGAUCCAGCCAUGCCGCGUGCGGGAAGAAGGCCUUCGGGUUGUAAACCGCUUUUGUCAGGGAAGAAAUCUUCUGAGUUAAUACCUCGGGAGGAUGACGGCUACCUGAAGAAUAAGCACCGGCUAACUACGUGCCAGCAGCCGCGGUAAUACGUAGGGUGCAAGCGUUAAUCGGAAUUACUGGGCGUAAAGCGUGCGCAAGGCGGUUUUGUAAGACAGAGGUGAAAUCCCCGGGCUCAACCUGGGAACUGCCUUUGUGACUGCAAGGCUUGAGUGCGGCAGAGGGGGGAUGGAAUUCCGCGUGUAGCAGUGAAAUGCGUAGAUAUGCGGAGGAACACCGAUGGCGAAGGCAA
RNAcentral lists this ribosomal RNA (380 nucleotides) under uncultured bacterium. RNAcentral's name for it is "partial 16S ribosomal RNA". It matches the Rfam family "Bacterial small subunit ribosomal RNA", at positions 355 to 724 of the family's 1533-position model. The record is from RNAcentral.